This 436-nucleotide ribosomal RNA is filed under the name uncultured bacterium. RNAcentral's name for it is "bacterial SSU rRNA". It matches the Rfam family "Bacterial small subunit ribosomal RNA", at positions 355 to 787 of the family's 1533-position model. The record is from RNAcentral.
UGAGGAAUAUUGGUCAAUGGGCGGGAGCCUGAACCAGCCAAGCCGCGUGAGGGAAGAAGGCCCUAUGGGUCGUAAACCUCUUUUGUCAGGGAACAAAAGCGAGUAUGUAUACUGGUCUGAGUGUACCUGAAGAAAAACGCAUCGGCUAACUCCGUGCCAGCAGCCGCGGUAAUACGGAGGAUGCGAGCGUUAUCCGGAUUUAUUGGGUUUAAAGGGUGCGUAGGCGGCGGUGCAAGUCAGCGGUAAGAGCCCGGGGCUCAACCCCGGCGAGCCGUUGAAACUGCAGUGCUAGAGAAGGCGAGAGGUACGCGGAAUGCGCAGUGUAGCGGUGAAAUGCUUAGAUAUUGCGCAGAACUCCGGUAUGCGAAGGCAGCGUACUGGCGCCUGACUGACGCUGAGGCACGAAAGCGUGGGGAUCGAACAGGAUUAGAUACCC